RNAcentral lists this ribosomal RNA (446 nucleotides) under uncultured bacterium. RNAcentral's name for it is "bacterial SSU rRNA". It matches the Rfam family "Bacterial small subunit ribosomal RNA", at positions 329 to 792 of the family's 1533-position model. The record is from RNAcentral.
AACCAGACUCCUACGGGAGGCAGCAGUGGGGAAUAUUGCACAAUGGGGGGAACCCUGAUGCAGCGACGCCGCGUGAGUGAAGAAGUAUCUCGGUACGUAAAGCUCUAUCAGCAGGGAAGAAAAUGACGGUACCUGCAAAGGAAGCACCGGCUAACUCCGUGCCAGCAGCCGCGGUAAUACGGAGGGUGCGAGCGUUAAUCGGAAUUACUGGGCGUAAAGCGCUCGUAGGCGGUAUGUCAAGUCAAGGGUGAAAUCCCCGCGCUCAACGUGGGAACUGCCUUCGAAACUGGCAAACUGGAGUGUGUGAGAGGAUAGUGGAAUUCCAGGUGUAGGAGUGAAAUCCGUAGAUAUCGGGAGGAACAUCAGUGGCGAAGGCGACUAUCUGGCACAUAACUGACGCUGAGGAGCGAAGGCGUGGGUAGCAAACAGGAUUAGAUACCCGUGUA